UACAUCACAUGGUAUCUAGUAUCUGGUGUCAGAUAUUGUUGUUUACAUCACAUGGUAUCUAGUAUCUGGUGUCAGAUAUUGUUGUUUACAUCACAUGGUAUCUAGUAUCUGGUGUCAGAUAUUGUUUACAUCACAUGGUAUCUAGUAUCUGGUGUCAGAUAUUGUUGUUUACAUCACAUGGUAUCUAGUAUCUGGUGUCAGAUAUUGUUGUUUACAUCACAUGGUAUCUAGUAUCUCAGAUAUUGUUGUUUACAUCACAUGGUAUCUGGUGUCAGAUAUGGUUGUUUACAUCACAUGGUAUCUAGUAUCUGGUGUCAGAUAUUGUUGUUUACAUCACAUGGUAUCUAGUAUCUGGUGUCCGAUGUUGUUGUUUACAUCACAUGGUAUCUAGUAUCUGGUGUGAAAUCAGAUAUUGUUGUUUACAUCACAUGGUAUCUAGUAUCUGGUGUCAGAUAUUGUUGUUUACAUCACAUGGUAUCUGGGGUCAGAUAGUGUUGUUUACAUCACAUGGUAUCUGGUGUCAGAUAUUGUUGUUUACAUCACAUGGUAUCUGGUGUCAGAUAUGAUUCCCACAUUGACUGCAUCCCAAAUGGCCCCAUUGGGGACCCAGCCAUUAUCUGGUGUGUAGAAGGAUUGUCAGAGAUAAUGGUUAACUGGAUAGAACAGGAAAUGGCUGGUAGGAGGGACUGGGGAUGGUAUAUUGUCCCUCACUCUGUAGCUUAGGCUCACUAUGGAAGACUGUCUCUCUCUCUAUCUCUCUCUCUCUCUCUUUCUCUGUCUCUCUUUCUCUCUCUCGGUCUCUCUUUCUCUCUCUGUCUCUCUUUCUCUCUCUCCCUCCUCUCUCUCUCUCUCUCUCUCUCUCUCUCUCUGUCUCUCUCUCUCUCUCUCUCUCUCUCUCUUCCUCUGUCUGUGUCUCUCUCUUUCUCUGUGUCUCUCUCUCUUUCGCUCUCUCUCUCUCUCUCUCUCUCUCUCUCUCUCUCUCUCUCUCUGUGUCUCUCUCUCUCUGUCUCUCUCUCUCUUUCUCUCUCUCUGUCUCUCUUUCUCUCUCUGUCUCUGUCUCUGUCUUUGUCUCUGUCUCUCUCUCUGCCUCUGUCUCUCUCUGUCUCUCUCUCUGUCUUCAUAGUCUCCCUGUCUCGCUCUCUGUUGUUAUAGUCUGUCUGUCUCUCCUGCCAUCUCACUCUUUCUCCAUCUCUCUCAGUUCACCACAUUACAGCCCAAGUGAAAUGCUUGACAGGCACUGUCUGUCUGUCUGUCUGUCUGCCGGUGACCAGAUAAAUCUUCUCUUGGUGUAGUUCAAGGUCUCCACAGUGUCCCUUGGCGUGUCACAGGAGGAGCAUGGAGUCGUGUCAGGGCCAAGCUGAUAGGUGGAAUGGCUGACGUCAGGUUGUCUCGUUGUUGUUGUUGUUGUCGUUGAUCCUAUCUAUGGUCCAAUGUGGACAUGGUGUCAACAUGAGGUCGCGCUAUUGUGUCAACUAACAAAAACAAGUGGACUGAAUGAAGGAAGAGUCCAACUGUCAGAGCUGAGUGAGUGGUUAGUUACCUUUCACAUGGGAUACUCCUCUACCAGGAUGGAUAUCAGGGGGCCAUUUGGGAUCUAAUCACAUUCUGUCAGCUGUCGGAAUAACUAGAGCCCAUAUCCCAGUAUUCCUGUUAUUGUUCCUGUUAUUAUUCCUGCUUUUAAGACCCUUCUUGUUCCCAGAUGGGAAACCAGGCUAUCCAGUCCAAUCAUUUAUCCAUCUGAUCACCCUCAACUUCCUCAGGCCAGAUAAGUUCAACUUCCUCAGGCCAGAUAAGUCCAACUUCCUCAGGCCAGAUAAGUCCAACUUCCACAGGCCAGAUAAGUCCAAUUCAACUUCCUCAGGCCAGAUAAGUCCAACUUCCUCAUGCCAGAUAAGUCCAACUUCCUCAGGUCAGAUAAGUCCAACUCAACUUCCUCAGGCAAGAUAAGUCCAACUUCCUCAGUCCAGAUAAGUCCAACUUCCUCAGGCCAGAUAAGUCCAACUUCCUCAGUCCAGAUAAGUCCAAAUUCCUCAGGCCAGAUAAUUCCAACUCAACUUCCUCAGUCCCGAUAAGUCCAACUCAACUUCCUCAGUCCCGAUAAGUCCAACUCAACUUCCUCAGUCCAGAUAAGUCCAACUCCUAUCCUUCAGUCCAGAUAAGUCCAACUCAACUGCACCAAAUGAAAGUGAUGGGCAAGGCUACUGCAUGUAGGAUACUGAUGGAGACGUGUUUCUCUCCUUUACCCAAGACCCUUUCUGUUUUAUACCUCUCUCUGUCUGUCCUCAAGAUAACAAACAAAACCAAGGUUAGUCUUGUUUAUGUCUCCUCUCCUCCAUGUCUCAGUGUCUUACUGCAGGUCUAUAAUAUGUCUCCUCCAUGUCUCUGUGUCUUACUGCAGGUCUAUAAUAUGUCUCCUCUCCUCCAUGUCUCUGUGUCUUACUGCAGGUCUAUAAUAUGUCUCCUCUCCUCCAUGUCUCUGUGUCUUACUGCAGGUCUAUAAUAUGUCUCCUCCAUGUCUCUGUGUCUUACUGCAGGUCUAUAAUAUGUCUCCUCCAUGUCUCAGUGUCUUACUGCAGGUCUAUAAUAUGUCUCCUCCAUGUCUCUGUGUCUUACUGCAGGUCUAUAAUAUGUCUCCUCCAUGUCUCAGUGUCUUACUGCAGGUCUAUAAUAUGUCUCCUCCAUGUCUCUGUGUCUUACUGCAGGUCUAUAAUAUGUCUCCUCUCCUCCAUGUCUCUGUGUCUUACUGCAGGUCUAUAAUAUGUCUCCUCUCCUCCAUGUCUCUGUGUCUUACUGCAGGUCUAUAAUAUGUCUCCUCCAUGUCUCUGUGUCUUACUGCAGGUCUAUAAUAUGUCUCCUCUCCUCCAUGUCUCUGUGUCUUACUGCAGGUCUAUAAUAUGUCUCCUCUCCUCCAUGUCUCUGUGUCUUACUGCAGGUCUAUAAUAUGUCUCCUCUCCUCCAUGUCUCAGUGUCUUACUGCAGGUCUAUAAUAUGUCUCCUCUCCUCCAUGUCUCAGUGUCUUACUGCAGGUCUAUAAUAUGUCUCCUCUCCUCCAUGUCUCCGUGUCUUACUGCAGGUCUAUAAUAUCUCUCCUCCAUGUCUCUGUGUCUUACUGCAGGUCUAUAAUAUGUCUCCUCUCCUCCAUGUCUCUGUGUCUUACUGCAGGUCUAUAAUAUGUCUCCUCUCCUCCAUGUCUCUGUGUCUUACUGCAGGUCUAUAAUAUAUCUCCUCCAUGUCUCAGUGUCUUACUGCAGGUCUAUAAUAUGUCUCCUCCAUGUCUCUGUGUCUUACUGCAGGUCUAUAAUAUGUCUCCUCCAUGUCUCAGUGUCUUACUGCAGGUCUAUAAUAUGUCUCCUCCAGGUCUCAGUGUCUUACGGCAGAUCUAUAAUAUGUCUCCUCCAUGUCUCUGUGUCUUACUGCAGGUCUAUAAUAUGUCUCCUCUCCUCCAUGUCUCUGUGUCUUACUGCAGGUCUAUAAUAUGUCUCCUCCACGUCUCAGUGUCUUACUGCAGGUCUAUAAUAUGUCUCCUCUCCUCCAUGUCUCUGUGUCUUACUGCAGGUCUAUAAUAUGUCUCCUCUCCUCCAUGUCUCUGUGUCUUACUGCAGGUCUAUAAUAUGUCUCCUCCAUGUCUCAGUGUCUUACUGCAGGUCUAUAAUAUGUCUCCUCCAUGUGUCUGUGUCUUACUGCAGGUCUAUAAUAUGUCUCCUCUCCUCCAUGUCUCUGUGUCUUACUACAGGUCUAUAAUAUGUCUCCUCCAUGUCUCUGUGUCUUACUGCAGGUCUAUAAUAUGUCUCCUCUCCUCCAUGUCUCUGUGUCUUACUGCAGGUCUAUAAUAUGUUUCCUCCAUGUCUCUGUGUCUUACUGCAGGUCUAUAAUAUGUCUCCUCUCCUCCAUGUCUCAGUGUCUUACUGCAGGUCUAUAAUAUCUCUCCUCUCCUCCAUGUCUCAGUGUCUUACUGCAGGUCUAUAAUAUGUCUCCUCCAUGUCUCUGUGUCUUACUGCAGGUCUAUAAUAUGUCUCCUCUCCUCCAUGUCUCUGUGUCUUACUGCAGGUAUAUAAUAUGUCUCCUCUCCUCCAUGUCUCUGUGUCUUACUGCAGGUCUAUAAUAUGUCUCCUCUCCUCCAUGUCUCAGUGUCUUACUGCAGGUCUAUAAUAUGUCUCCUCCAUGUCUCUGUGUCUUACUGCAGGUCUAUAAUAUGUCUCCUCUCCUCCAUGUCUCUGUGUCUUACUGCAGGUCUAUAAUAUGUCUCCUCCAUGUCUCAGUGUCUUACUGCAGGUCUAUAAUAUGUCUCCUCUCCUCCAUGUCUCUGUGUCUUACUGCAGGUCUAUAAUAUGUUUCCUCCAUGUCUCUGUGUCUUACUGCAGGUCUAUAAUAUGUCUCCUCUCCUCCAUGUCUCAGUGUCUUACUGCAGGUCUAUAAUAUCUCUCCUCUCCUCCAUGUCUCAGUGUCUUACUGCAGGUCUAUAAUAUGUCUCCUCCAUGUCUCUGUGUCUUACUGCAGGUCUAUAAUAUGUCUCCUCUCCUCCAUGUCUCAGUGUCUUACUGCAGGUCUAUAAUAUGUCUCCUCCAUGUCUCUGUGUCUUACUGCAGGUCUAUAAUAUGUCUCCUCCAUGUCUCAGUGUCUUACUGCAGGUCUAUAAUAUGUCUCCUCCAUGUCUCAGUGUCUUACUGCAG
Molecule: long non-coding RNA, 4670 nt
Organism: Oncorhynchus tshawytscha (Chinook salmon)
Lineage: Eukaryota; Metazoa; Chordata; Actinopteri; Salmoniformes; Salmonidae
Source: Ensembl